Molecule: ribosomal RNA, 253 nt
Filed under: uncultured bacterium
Lineage: Bacteria
Description: partial 16S ribosomal RNA
Rfam family: Bacterial small subunit ribosomal RNA
Source: RNAcentral
UACAGAGGUGGCAAGCGUUGUUCGGAAUUACUGGGCUUAAAGGGUGCGUAGGCGGCGCGACAAGUUGGGUGUGAAAUCCCUCGGCUCAACCGAGGAACUGCGCUCAAUACUGUCGUGCUCGAGGGAGACAGAGGUGAGCGGAACUUAGGGUGGAGCGGUGAAAUGCGUUGAUAUCCUAAGGAACACCGGUAGCGAAAGCGGCUCACUGGGUCUUUUCUGACGCUGAGGCACGAAAGCUAGGGUAGCGAACGGG